RNAcentral lists this ribosomal RNA (497 nucleotides) under uncultured bacterium. Its description in RNAcentral is "partial 16S ribosomal RNA". It matches the Rfam family "Bacterial small subunit ribosomal RNA", at positions 28 to 507 of the family's 1533-position model. The record is from RNAcentral.
GAUGAACGCUGGCGGCGUGCCUAAUACAUGCAAGUCGAGCGAACGGACGAGAAGCUUGCUUCUCUGAUGUUAGCGGCGGACGGGUGAGUAACACGUGGAUAACCUACCUAUAAGACUGGGAUAACUUCGGGAAACCGGAGCUAAUACCGGAUAAUAUUUUGCACCGCGUGGGUCAAUAGUAAAAGACGGUCUUGCUGUCACUUCUAGAUGGAUCCGCGCUGCAUUAGCUAGUUGGUAAGUUAACGGCUUACCAAGGCAACGAUGCAUAGCCGACCUGAUAGGGUGGUAGGCCGCCCGGGAGCGGGGACACGGACCAGACGACUAAGGGAGGCAGCAGUAGGGAACCGUCGGCAAUGGGCGAAAGCCUGACGGAGCAACGCGGCGUGAGUGACGAAGGUCCUCGGAUCGUAAAACUCUGUUAUGAGGGAAGAACAUAUGUGUAAGGAACUGUGCACAUAUUGACGGUACCUAAUCAGAAAGCCACGGCUAACUACGUG